CAAGAAGUAGUUUAAAUAGAAUACCAACUUUGGGUGUUGGUGGUGGGGGUUGACCCUUCCUUCUUGA
This 67-nucleotide transfer RNA is filed under the name Peromyscus aztecus (Aztec mouse). RNAcentral describes it as "tRNA-Pro". It matches the Rfam family "tRNA". Rfam says of the family: Transfer RNA (tRNA) molecules are approximately 80 nucleotides in length. Their secondary structure includes four short double-helical elements and three loops (D, anti-codon, and T loops). Further hydrogen bonds mediate the characteristic L-shaped molecular structure. tRNAs have two regions of fundamental functional importance: the anti-codon, which is responsible for specific mRNA codon recognition, and the 3' end, to which the tRNAs corresponding amino acid is attached (by aminoacyl-tRNA synthetases). tRNAs cope with the degeneracy of the genetic code in two manners: having more than one tRNA (with a specific anti-codon) for a particular amino acid; and 'wobble' base-pairing, i.e. permitting non-standard base-pairing at the 3rd anti-codon position. Lineage: Eukaryota; Metazoa; Chordata; Mammalia; Rodentia; Cricetidae. The record is from RNAcentral.